GGAGAAGUCGCGUAGCCCGGUCGAGCGCGCACGAUUGGAAAUCGUGUAACGGCAAAAAACCGUUCGAGGGUUCGAAUCCCUCCUUCUCCGCCA
RNAcentral lists this transfer RNA (93 nucleotides) under Oscillospiraceae bacterium. RNAcentral describes it as "tRNA-Ser". It matches the Rfam family "tRNA". From Rfam's summary of the family: Transfer RNA (tRNA) molecules are approximately 80 nucleotides in length. Their secondary structure includes four short double-helical elements and three loops (D, anti-codon, and T loops). The record is from RNAcentral. Lineage: Bacteria; Bacillati; Bacillota; Clostridia; Eubacteriales; Oscillospiraceae.